Nerophis ophidion (straightnose pipefish) is the source of this 2533-nucleotide RNA transcript. It is a transcript of the gene named 5'-AMP-activated protein kinase subunit gamma-2-like, with no coding region annotated. The transcript has 16 exons. Lineage: Eukaryota; Metazoa; Chordata; Actinopteri; Syngnathiformes; Syngnathidae. The record is from RefSeq and is a predicted model, not a curated record.
GUGGCAGGCACGGCACCAGUGUUGUCAAAGCGAGGAGGAGGUUAGUUGUGGACAGACUGCAGCCGUGAUUCAGCCCUUUAGUCGCAGGGAAAAUGGGAAGCACGGUGAUGGAGUCCGGCAAGGGAGGCUCCAAAAAGCUGCCCAAGCGGAAGAGAGGUCUGCGUAUCAAUAUGCCGGACUUUGCAGCAUUUACUUCUCCCCAAGUGGAAACGAGUUGCUCAACUAAAAGCUCAAAGACGGGAGACCGUUGCACACGUUCUGCCAGCCCUGCCAGGGGAGAGGCUGCUGUGAGGAGCGCGCGGCCAUGUCCGCAGUCGGCGCCAGUGCAGUCCAAGUCCACCUCGGGUUCACCCAAAACCAUCUUCCCGUAUCCCUGUUACCAGGAAUCCCCACCCAAAUCCCCCCGCCGCCUCAGCUUCAGUGGCAUCUUCCGCUCCUCAUCCAACACAAGCCCUUCAAGCAUCAAAAUAUUUACCAGAGCCCGCAGAGCCUCUGGAAUCUCCACACCACCCACCACGCCAACACAGACACCCAGCCAGCCUGUGUUCACCCAAGAGGCCACGCAGAGCGUUCCAAGCCCAGAACGCCUACUGGGAGACCGUUUCCGCUCCCGCUGUGUGUCGACGCCUCCCGACACAGGACAGCGCUCCACCCUUCCCUCGGCAAAACCACCGAAACCUUCCUCGAGCCCUGUGCCGCUGUACUCUACCUCACAACAAGUGUCUGGUUUAUUCGAAGGUAUGCUGGAGAAACUUGAACUAAACGACGAUGCUGCUGAACCUGAGAGUGAUAUUUACAUGCGAUUUAUGAAAUCCCACAAGUGCUAUGACAUCGUCCCUACAAGCUCCAAGCUGGUCGUGUUUGACACGGCGCUCCAAGUCAAGAAGGCAUUUUUUGCCUUGGUUGCCAAUGGCGUACGAGCUGCUCCACUGUGGGACACAGAGAAGCAAAGCUUUGUGGGGAUGCUGACAAUCACAGACUUCAUCAUAAUCCUUCACAGAUACUACAAGUCGCCAAUGGUACAAAUAUAUGAGCUAGAAGAACAUAAGCUGGAGACGUGGAGAGAGGUUUAUCUUCAAGCAACUUUCAAGCCUCUUGUCAACAUAUCGCCUGAUGCAAGCCUCUUCGAUGCAGUCUACACGCUCAUCAAAAACAAAAUUCACCGCUUGCCCGUCAUCGACCCAGUCACAGGGAACGCACUUUAUAUCCUCACGCACAAGAGGAUCCUCAAGUUCCUCCAGCUUUUUAUGUGUGAGAUGCCAAAGCCAGCCUUCAUGAAGCAGACCCUCGGGGAGUUGGGCAUCGGCACAUAUCAGGACAUUGCCUUCAUCCACCCCAACACACCCAUCAUCAAAGCACUAAAUAUCUUCGUGGAGAGGAGAGUGUCUGCUUUGCCUGUAGUGGAUGAGUCAGGCAAAGUUGUGGACAUCUACUCCAAGUUUGACGUCAUCAACCUGGCAGCUGAAAAGACGUACAACAACCUGGACAUUACGGUGACGCAGGCGCUCAAGCAUCGCUCACAGUACUUUGAAGGUGUCAUGAAGUGCCACAAGAUGGAAACUAUGGAGACAAUCGUGGACAGAAUUGUUAAAGCUGAAGUGCAUCGGUUGGUGGUGGUGGACGAGCGCUCCAGCAUCGAGGGCAUCGUUUCCCUGUCGGACAUCCUCCAGUCCCUGGUGCUCAGUCCAGCAGGUAUCGACGCUCAACAUAGCUAACCCCAACAAGUACUCAGUCCUGGACACACACACUCUCCAUCCUCACACCAAGCUCUCUCCCGUCCCCGCCCCAUCCCGCCCUCUUACUUUGUCUCAGACUGCUGCAAGGAGGAGAACCUGAGCGAAUGAGGAGGAGCUGAAGAGGAGACAUACGGACACCAAAGACGAGUGUGCACUGAGGACUGCGCUUCUUGAAUGUAUGUGCUGAACUCUAAUCAGAUAUGUUGUACAUAUACAGUUCAUAAAUACAUUAUUAUAGUCACCUUGCCAGGGAAAGGUGGAUCAGACGGGUUCUUUGAAAAAAAAGUUUUGAGUUCAGCAUUCUCACUGUUUGCAAAUACAAAGGUUGCACUGUUUGUAUCCUCCUUUUGUUUGGACAACACAGGUUUUAGUUUUAUUAAAACACAUUUCACUCUCUUCAAUUCCCCAUUUUUUUACCCCAUAAAAUAUUUGUGACAUGAAUGUGUAAAGAAAAUUUGGGUGAUAUUCUUUUCACUGGUCACAAACUCUGAAUGAUUUUUUUUUUUUUAAGUGAACAUUAAAAAACAUGGCUGCAGCUGAACAAAACUCAUCUCCCCGUUUUGACUGUAAAUAGGAUUAUUUUUGUUUCACAAAAAAAGCUUUAUUUUUUAUGUCACAUGUUCAAAUAGACUGCAUAUGUGUGGGGUAUUUUUGUAAAUAUGUUGCUGGAACCACCACAUGUACUGUAAAUGUGCAAAGCAUGACACAACACUUUACAGCAGUAUGAAUGUUCUUUGCUUUUUUGGUUCUUUGUUCUCAUUUUUCUGCUUGCAGAAAAAUAAAAGACACUGAAUGUA